AUGGCAAAAAUGGAUGUUGGUUUCACAGACGUCUUAUCCCGUAUCGCCGAAUGGAUACCAGCUGUCAUAAGAGGCCCUUCAUCUCCCCCAAAGGAAGUUACCGUGAUAGAAACUCGCCAUGUCAGCAAUGGAGAACACACAGUUUUUAAUUUGUGUUGUAUCAUGAAGCCACCACAACCACCCCCUAUGUGUUAUAUCCUCCAGCAACACGGGCUUAGAGACCCCCCUGAGUUUGCGAUGAACAUUCAUGAGACGCCACCACAACCACCCCCUAUGUGUUAUAUCCUCCAGCAACACGGGCUUAGAGACCCCCCUGAGUUUGCGAUGAACAUUCGCGGGACGGCGACACAAUGUCGACACGGGCGUGCAAAGGGAAGCCUGGGUGGCUGUGAAAACGGCUGCAUCACGGGCAAGAUGCAUGUACUGCAUGACGGGGGUCGGGGGCAGCAGCAAAAAUAUAAGAAGAUCAGGCCAAAAGGGGUGGGGCGUCGUGCAUGGGCUGGUAUUGAUCGUAGGCAUGGAGGAUGGCCCGUGAUCGGAUUCACUAGGAGGCUUGAAGAAAUAUACCCGGCUUCUACCUUCCACACGAGGGCGGAAUUUUACUUUCCUGCUAGAAGCCCAGACAGUAGCUCGAGCUCGACGAACUGCAAUCCCCUAGUCCGGCGGCACACAGCAGAUCUAAGGAUGGAUGGCUACGGGAUACCAGCUUCAGGGCCGAGACCACCCCAACGAUUCGACGACGCAUCCUCUGAAUCGGAAGAAGAGGAGGGGAUCGGUUUCCCGGCUGGGGGUGGCGUUGCAGAGUCCGAGUCAGACGAAGAAGAUCAGAACCAACGCAAUGGAAAAGCGCCUGCAAUCAGCUCGAGAUGCAGCGUAAAAAAGCUUCAUGAUUUGCUGGCGUCUCUUGAGAUGGAUUUUAGGGGGCUGCUGGAGCUACCAAAGAUAACCAAGACGGAUAGGCAUUUCUUAAUGUCUAUUUUAGGUCACAUAGACGAGGAAGCAAGUUCCAUCACUAUCGAUCACAAGCGCGACGUGCAGUUCUAUGACGAAGAUGUUCACACUGUCCUUGGCAUACCUUGCGGAGCUGCGCCUGUUAGAGAUGCAGGUCAUCAUGUUUCAGAGGAGGUGCUCACACUGAUCAGAGGCAUGUUUGGUAUCGGACCAGGAGAGCACAGCAUUUUGCCAAUUGUUGAAGCAGUGAAGAUGACAUACGGCCGCCGUAUGACUGUGGGUGAGAAGAACAAAUUCAAAGUGGGGCUGGUGAUAUGCGCAUGCACAUACCUCCUUGCUCCAACGCUGGAGAACGACUACUUCUGCACCGAUUACUGGGGCGCGUUGGCCACACCUGAUCUCAUACAUAUGCACAAAUGGUGCAGAUACACACGAGAAGAGCUGCUGGUUGCGGCUAAAAGGGUGAAGGCAGAUCUCUUAGGAGGCCGUCAGAAGUCAAACCUGUCCGGGUGCCUGCCAUUUAUACAGUUUGACAUGUGUUUCCUGAUGUCCACGUGUGCCACCACCCACCCCCCCCCACACACACAGGUGUUCUACGUCGAUAACCUAGACGCUGCAGAGAACAACAUCGACCACACGGUAUGGCCUAGGGUGAAAGUGUACACCUACACUCUUAUGAAAACAAUAAUUCAGAAGGAUGUCAAAUCACGCAAAGGAGACUACCCCGUUGUGUAUGGCAGGCUGCUGCCAAGGGCGGAAACAGAAGUCUGUUACCAUAGAAACCCUAUGAACAGGAAGAUUGCCGCGGGCACAUCAACGGGCACGGCCCACGGACGCCCAGUCGCAUCGGGCUGCAGUUCGAUAGACAUAAAGGAGGCAUCUUAUAUUGUCUUGGGCAAAAUAUCAAAGUUCACAUCCAGGUGCGAAGAAGUGCUUCUUUCAACUGCAAGGAAGAAGGAAGAGGAAAAUCACCGCCAUUUCAAUGCGCUAAAUAGCCUUGAAAAUUCAGCUCAGCACACAAUCAAGAGGGAGGCGAAAAGGGUGAGAGACGGGUUCUUUUCGUUCUUCUCAAUUAUCGAGAGGCAAGACGCCGAGAUGAGGACAAGGAGGAAUGACACAAGUAACAAUGGCAACUCCACGGGGGGCCGCGGCGCAUCCCCAAUAACACACUCACCUGGACCUGCAGCUAGCAAUGCUGCCGCAACACCUCCAGACACAAGGAGAGAUCUGCGCAACAGCAACAUAUCGCCGGAAGUCGUUGAGGUUUCCCCCCGACGCUUCAAGAAGACAGCCAAGAAACCCAAGAAAGUAAGGUUUGAGUGCGAGGCUUCAGAUGUCAUGGAUAUCACGGAUUCAGAAGAUAAUACAAACGUGGUCAGUUCAACAGUCGCACCAAUUAAUUCUGCCACCACACCAGGAGGUUGUCGCAUUCAAGGAAACUCGCCAAGCAUAAACCUCGCUCUAGACAGCUUGAUAACAGAAGCGGAGAGAUAUAGCGCAGGAGGCAAGCAAAAUGGUGAGAGUUCCGCUGCAACAAACAAAUCAAUAAUGGACAUUGUACCAGGAUUGUCAACAUCCGACGUCGUCGGUGCUGCGGAUGUUGCUUCAACAUACCCCGUUUGUUGCGCUCAAGACCCUAAUUACCACCACAACCGCCUAUGGAACUACCCUGAUGGACACCCGCUUCUUGAGGAGACAGCAUCAUUUGACUUAGGGGUCAUCACGCCCCCUUGCAACAAGUCAAAGGGCCCAAGCCUGGUUAGCAUCGCUGCCAUGCGGGAUGUCACCCGCAGAGACCUUUUCGGGGCAGGCGACUUUGGAACCAGCACUCCAGGUUCAGCCAACCUCGGGACACCAUCAACGCCUUUUCACAUAGCCAGUGCAAGUCUAGACGGAACUCAACAACGGCAAAUCGUUCAUGACAUAUCACCGGUUAGCUGCACAAGGUCUGUGGCAACCGGGAUUUUAGACUUUAGAGAAGAGGUGGAGGCAGACUGUGUCAAUCUCAACAAGCCGGUAGAGGAAAAUUCACUAUCUGCACCGCCACCGAAAAGGAGAGUGGUGCCCGGACCUGCCGGACGAUCGCCAUUCAUUAUGCAGUACCGUCUGUCUGAAAGGGCGUCCGGAAACGCCACCCACUUAUAUUUAGUGUUCUCCCAGAUGAGUGGUGCAGUGUUAAACAACAACUGGGUUGUUAGCCCAUACCCCAGUUACAUAGAAUUGACGGGAGCCAUACUGAAGAAGCAGCUUAGCGUUGGAGGGUUCAUAGAGAUAGAUCUAAUGAAUGUCUUCAUGAGAAGAUUCCAGCAGCUGGAGAAUGUUUGGGCAAGGAAAUAUGGCGAUUCGACCUGGAGGCAUUACCCGGAGCCAGAUUUCGUGAGCCACGUGUUGCGCGGCGGUGAUUUCAUUCGUAAUGACUACGUAAGGAACAUUUUUGUUGGCCACCAUAUAUCCCACGAUGUCAACAGAUGCCCUAUGAUGAUAUUGCCAGUGCAGCACACACACGCAUGGUCUACAUAUUUCUUUGAUUUUCCGAGAAGGAGAACAACAAUUCUCGACCCUAUGAUAAACAAUGGAGACAGGCCGGCGGACGAACUCCGCAAUGAGCACAUAAAGAUAGCUCAUGAGCUACGUGCAGCGCUAAUGGUUUGCAUAGCAGAAUACUUUGAUGGCUGGGCGCCCAAGACGAAAGGGUGGCAAAAUUGGUUCCCAAAGCUCACCACUGGACCUUGGGUCUGCAGCCGGGCAUCCAGCGGGAUCGUCGCACUGCACUACGCAAGGCAAUGGAUGGGGACAAAGUUACAGCGCACCCUGUCUCCGAUAGGGGAUGAAUUCGAUCAGUCCAGGAUGAUGCUCCUUUAUGAAGUUCUGGGACUGGGCGGCAACAUCGGGCAACUUCCGGCGAAAUUCAAAGUCUGUCAGACAGACUGCUGA
This 3885-nucleotide ribosomal RNA is filed under the name Triticum aestivum (bread wheat). Its description in RNAcentral is "partial small subunit ribosomal RNA". The record is from RNAcentral. Lineage: Eukaryota; Viridiplantae; Streptophyta; Magnoliopsida; Poales; Poaceae.